GGCAAAUUGGGAAAAGGCACUGCCUCGGGGGCCUGUUGGCUAUUGCCAUUGGAAGGCUCCUGGCUGGGAGGCGGAGCCGUAUUGAAAUGCUCACUGCUGUGGCUUGGUCGGGGCCCCUCAUUCUCCUCCUUGGCUGUCACCAGCACCUCUGCACCUGGUAGUGAUGAGGCCCCAAGGCCAGCGAGGUAUCAGUGCGCUCGGCGGCUCGGGAGCGAGGCUGCCCCGCGCCAGGAGCCCAGGUUUCUCGUCAGUCACAGCGCGCUCUUGUCAGCGGCGGGCGGGGCAGGGCCUGGCGGCCUCCGCGCAGAUGGGGCAGCUCUGCGGGCCAUUCUGUCUUUGCAGCUUCCUGUGCGAGGGUAUGGUUUUCAUCAGCCUCUGUGCCGUGCCGUAGACAGCACCGACUUUGUAAGAUCGGGUUUGCUCUGCAGCCAGAAGGAAACAGCGAGACAUUUCUGUGUAUGCGAGGUGCCUGUAGGAAGGCCAGGGAGGGCGUGGGCAGCCACCCAGAGGUCCCAGUGGGGUGCUCUCGCUGUGACGGGGCGGGGGAGUCCAGGCUGGGAGGAGCACCUUUCCCACGCUCAGACUCCAUUAAAUCCAGCGGAGAAAUGAGCCUCGUCGCUGGAAACGGCUUUCUCUCCUGGUUGGCACAGCCCCUGCCCGGCAUGGCCACCUUGCCUGCUGUGUCCACGAGUCCUUCCACAGAAGAAAGUCGUGUCUCUGUCUUGUCUCCUCCCCCCCGAUCUCCUUCCCGGGGACAGUCCCAAAGCAGUGCACAGGGCCAGCAGUGUUCGGGGUGCUUGGUGUACGUGCUGCCAGAGGGUCCUCCCUGUGAGGGUUAACAUGGCUCUGAUCAAUAAGAGAGGCCUCAUCCACCCUGGCAGGCCACAAAAUCAGCUCUGGCCAAGCCUGGAAAGCGGGUAAGUUUCCCAGCUUCACGCGUUCCCAGAGGGAGAAUAGCACAUGUGUGUGUCGUGUGUGUGGAAUGGAAACAGAAGGGUACCUUCCUUUGCGGAACUCCUAGGUGAAAAUGGAGAUGGGACUCCCAGAGGGGUGGUGGGCACACAGCCUACUCCACAGCCUUCAGGUCGCCGUUUCUUACAGUGGGAAUAAUUGGCAAGUGGAGGGCGAGUCGGCUGGGACAAUGGCAUUCGUGUGAGGAUGCGGGGAGAAUGUGUAAGACGUCAGAAACGAAAAGUCCCCCUGAGGCUUUCCGAGGGAAAGUCCGACCCUGGAAGUUGAAGUGUGAUUCGCAUGGAGCUUCUGAAGCAGACGCUCCCUGUGCCCGCACCCUGGUUCCAGGAAGUGCAGCCUGUUCUGCCAUCCCUGACGGAAUAGCCUGGCAGGGGCCGUCGCGGGCCAGGCUCUGCCAUGAAGCCGUCAACAGGGACAGUGAUCGCCACCGCAGAAGUCAGUUUUCCCUCCUGUCUGUCUGAGUAUUAGUAGAAGGGCGGCCACGCCUGAGUGGACAUGGCUGAGCACAUCCUGUGCUGCAGAGGCUGUGUGAGAUGUCCCACAGUGGACCUCCAGACAGUGGCACACCCCAUGCUGUACACCGUGUGAGGUGUACACAACUCCUGACAGUGGUACACCCAUGCUGUACACCGUGUGAGGUGUACACAACCCCUGACAGUGGCACACCCAUGCUGUACACCGUGUGAGGUGUACACAACUCCUGACAGUGGCACACACCUAUGCUGUACACUGUGUGAGGUGUACACAACUCCUGACAGUGGCACACACCUAUGCUGUACACCGUGUGAGGUGUACACAACUCCUGACAGUGGCACACACCUAUGCUGUACACCGUGUGAGGUGUACACAACUCCUGACAGUGGCACACACCUAUGCUGUAUACCAUGUGAGGUGUGCACAACUGCUGACAGUGGCACACACCUAUGCUGUACACUGUGUGAGGUGUAACAACUCCUGACAGUGGCACACACCUAUGCUGUACACUGUGUGAGGUGUACACAACUACAGACAGUGGCACACGUCCCAUGCUGUAUACUGUGUGAGGCGUACACAACUCCUGACAGUGGCACACGUCCCAUGCUGUACACCGUGUGAGGUAUCCCAGGACUCCGGUCAGUGGUACACUUCCCAUGCUGUACACCAUGUGAGGUAUACACGACCUCCAGACAGUGACACACAUCCUAUGCUGUAGAUGCUUUGUAAGAUGUACCAGGACUCCAGGCAGUGGUACACACCCCAUGCUGUACACUGUGUGAGGUGUACACAACUCCAGGCAGUGGUACACACCCCAUGCUGUACACUGUGUGAGGUGUACACAACUCCAGACAGUGGUACACAUCCCAUGCUGUACACUGUGUGAGGUGUACACAACUCCAGACAGUGGUACACAUCCCAUGCUGUACACUGUGUGAGGUGUACACAACUCCAGACAGUGGCACACACUCCAGGCUAUACAUCAUGUGAGGUGUCCCAGGACUCCAGACAGUGGUACAAAAUCAUGGCAGUGGAGUUCCUACUAGAGAGAGAAGAAGGAAGAGUUUCUAAGAAGAAUCAGUAACCUACCUAAACUAGAUCAAGUAAAAAUGGGGUUGAUUAUAAGGAAAAAUGGCAACAUUGUCCAACCCAGAUGCAGGAAGUCCAGUGAAGCUUAAACAGAGCUACGCCGUCCUCAAUGUCCAGUCUCCUUAGGUGGUCAUACGCCGUCUCUCAGUGUCCAGUCUCCUUAAGUGGUCUUCUGUUUGGAGCAGUGGAAAUCUCAUCUAGUGUGAACUCUGAAUGGUUAGCUUACAUAAUUGAUAUGACUUUUUGAGUUUUAUACAACCAGUAUUUUUUAAAUACCAAAGUAAUUUGAGCAAAGUAGAAGUAAUAUGGUUGGCAGUUGGCUCCUGCUCACCCUCCCACUGGGCCUGCAGCUGUCAGUGUGUUCUGGAUCCUUCUGUAGUCACGUGAACCUUUAUAUGCACAUAUAGGCCUUGGUAUUUUGUUGUUUAAUUUUGCUUUUAAAACAUGAUACUUAUUUAUCACUUUAGUUACCUAAAAGAUGGAGGCCAUCCCUCCGCAAACAGAUGUGGAUCUAACUCAUUCUUUAAAAACAAAAGGAUUUAUGUAUUUAUUUACUUAUUCAUUCAUUUAUUUGAAAGGCAGAGCCUCAGAGAAGAGAGAGAGAGAGAGAGAGAGAGAGAGAGGGAGGGAGAGAGGGAGGUCGGUCGGUCGGUCUUCUAUAUACUGGUCCACUCUGCAAAUGGCUGAAAUAGCCAGAGCUUGGCCAGGCCAAAGCUGGAAGCCAGGAGCUCCAUCCUUGUCUCCCACAUGAGUGGCAGGGGCUCAAGUACUUGAGCCAUUAUCUGCUGUCUUCCAAAGUACAUAAGCAGAAAGCUGGAUCAGAAGUGGAACAGGGGCUGGUGCUGUGGCGUAGUGGGUAAAGCCGCUGCCUGCAGUGCCGGCAUCCCAUAAGGGUGCUGGUUUGAGUCCCGGCUGCUCCACUUCUGACUCAGCUCCCUGCUGUGGCCUGGGAAAGCAGUGGAAGAUGGCCCAAGUCUUUGGGCCCCUGCACCCACGUGGGAGACCCAGAGGAAGCUCCUGGCUCCUGGCUUCGGGUCAGCACAGCUCCAGCCGUUGCAGCCAGUUGGGGAGUGAACCAUCAGAUGGAAGAACACACACUCUCUCUCUCUCUCUCUUUCUGCAUCUCCUUCUCUCUAUGUAACUCUGAAUUUCAAAUAAAUAAAUAAAUCUUAAAAAAAAAAAAAGCGGAACAGCUGGGACUUGAACUUGCACUCCAGUAUAGGACGUCUGCAUGACAAGCAACAGCUCAACCUGCUGCACCACAAUGUCGGCCCCUUUCGUUCGUAAAAAUAUUACAACGGAUUCCAUUGUCUGUGUUUCAAAGGAGGUACAUUUUGACAUCUCUAAAAGUGACUUAAACUCUCUUAGAAACGUCUUCAUUCAAUAACAGUCUAAGUAAGAGCAGUCAAGGGUUGCGUGCUCAGUGUUUGAGAGACCUGGGCUCCAUGGGCUUCACUGAUCUGCUGUUCCUGGGGUGUCAGGUUCAUCUGCACGUCCAGGAUGGUUCACUACUACUUCACAUUCUAGGCAGUGGGGCAGGGGCAGAGGCAGGGGCAGGUGCAGGGGCAAGUUAGCAACAGCCUUCCUUCUCCCAUGUUCCAGCAUCUCAUCACAGGCCCAUCCUCCUUAGUGACAGGGCCUCCAGUUGACGCCUUUGUUCUUGGUGCUACAAACAGUGGUAGAGGAGCACUCCUGUACAGAGGUCUUAGGUGCUGGUACUGAGAGUGCAGGGUCCCCCGGAGUGCAGUUGCUCUAAACCUGCAUUUAUUUUACAUACCAUAAACUGAAACCCUCAAAUAAAAAUUUAAAAUUUUGUAGUUGGAUUCAUAGUUUAGUUGAUAAAGAUCUUUAGCUAUGUUUCAUGCCAUGUUGACCAUCACCAUACUAAUUCAGCCAUGUUUGGAAAGUUACUUAAAUAUUUUAUUUCAUUUUUAUUUAUACAAAUUAGUGGACAAUAGAAAAAUCAAAGGUUUGCCAUCAGUGAGAUCAUUCCUGAAAUUUAUGACAUUCUCAGAGCAGGGAGUUGUGUCUGCUUUGUUCCCUGCGUUAUUGCUGGCACCUAGAAAAGUAUGAAGCAGGGUAGGCUCGCGCGGUACGUCGGCUGAGUCAGUGAGCGGUGAAUUUUCAUUGAGACAAAUGGAAAUGCUUGGAAGCACUAAGAAUAGGAGAUCUUUAUCGACGUUAGGCACUGCCCUCAAAGUGAUUCGUUCAUUUGUUAAAGAAAAGAAGAAAAUAAAAUUGCAAGUAUAUGAAAUCCUGGAAAGAAACUACUUAAGAUUUCACAAAGACGUUGCAGUUGAGAGGCUUCAAGCUAUAGACUGAAAAUAUCAGCAAAAACCACACUUUCAGAUGCCAAAGUGAGUUCAUGGAAUCAUUGCUUUUUGGUUCUCCUCUCAACUCCUCUUUUAGAAAUUAAAAAAAAAAAUACUUGAAAAAGCUAGAGACAAGGAGAGAGAGAGAGAGAGAGAGAGAGAGAGAGAGAGAGAGAUGCUGUGAGAUCUUCCAUCUGCUGGUUCUCUCCACAGACACCCACAACAGCUGGGGCUGGGCCAGUACUGGGAUGGCAGAGAACCAAGUACGACUUGACCAUCACCUGCUGCCUCCUAGAGUGGGCAUUAGCAGGAAACUGGUCUCAGACAGAAGCCGAGCUGGGGCUCCAUCUGAGGGCCUCUGCAUGGGAUACGGGCAUCCCAAGUGUUGGCUUCACCACUGUGUCAAACAGUCGUCCGUAUCAUAACUCCUUUUCCAGGAAGAGAAAAUAGCUCAGCAUUUUCAUGGCAAAAUGUUUGAUGUUAAGAUCAGCAGAGAGGCUGGUGCUGUGGCGUAGAGGGCUAAGCCUCCACCUGCGGUGCGGCAUCCCAUAUGGGCGCCGGUUUGUGUCCCAGCUGCUCCUCUUCCGAUCCAGCUCUCUGCUGUAGACUGAGAGAGCAGUGGAAGAUGGCCCAAGCGCUUGGGCCUCUGCACCCGCAUGGGAGACCUGGAGGAAGCUCCUUGCUUUUGAUCGAAUGGAAGUC
Non-coding RNA from Oryctolagus cuniculus (rabbit), 5549 nucleotides. Lineage: Eukaryota; Metazoa; Chordata; Mammalia; Lagomorpha; Leporidae. The record is from RefSeq and is a predicted model, not a curated record.